RNAcentral lists this ribosomal RNA (2238 nucleotides) under Triticum aestivum (bread wheat). Its description in RNAcentral is "partial small subunit ribosomal RNA". The record is from RNAcentral. Lineage: Eukaryota; Viridiplantae; Streptophyta; Magnoliopsida; Poales; Poaceae.
CGCAUUCCACUUGAUAGUUUUGCCCCCAACAUUAGAGAUGAUGUUAGAUUUGCUUAUAUACGAAUGGGUGCAACUCAACCAACUAGUUGCACUUUCCCCCCAAAUAGAGAUGGAAGAUGCUUUCGGCCACAAUGGUAUAAGGACUUUGAUUGGUUGGAAUAUAGUGUAACAACACAUAAGGCUUAUUGCUUCUGUUGCUAUCUUUUUAAGCAUGACCGAAUAGAUGAUAAAUUUGGGCAUGAUGUCUUCUCCAAAUUGGGUUUUGACUGUUGGAAAAAUGCGGUCGCGGCAUUUCGUAAACAUGUUGGUGGGCCAUGUAGCAUCCACAAUAUAUCAAAAACAGCAUGUGAUGAUUUUAAAAAUCAAGGGGCAAGUGUGAAAAGUAAAGUUACAACUUACGGCCAAGGUUCACUUGUCAAAUAUGAAACUCGUAUGGAUACAUCUUUGGGCAUUGUAAGUUAUCUAGCAUUGCAAGGUGAACCAUUUCGUGGACAUGAUGAAUCCAGUUCUUCUUUGAACAAGGGGAAUUUUUUAGAGUUGCUUGAUUGGGUCAAAGAAAGAAUUCCAGAAGUGAAGGUUGCAUUUGAUGAGCUAUGUCCUCAAAAUGCCAAAAUGACUUCCGGGACAAUUCAAAAAGACCUUGUCAAACAUUGUGCAACUGCAGCCACCAAAGUAAUCAAAGAAGAGAUGGGUGACUGUCCUUUCACUGUUCUUAUUGAUGAGUGUCGUGAUAUAUCGGUGAAAGAACAAAUGGUCGUGGUUGUCAGGUAUUUGAGCAAAAAAGGAGAGACCGUUGAAAGAUUUUUAGCUAUUAAGCAUGUCCCAGACACAACAUCUGCCUCUUUGAAGAAGGCUUUGUUGGAGGUUUUUGCUAAACACGGUCUAGUUAUUGCAAGACUAUGAGGGCAAGGAUAUGAUGGGGCAUCUAAUAUGAGAGGAGAAUUCAAUGGACUUCAGAGGUUAAUUCGAGAUGAGAACCCAUAUGCUUUCUAUAUCCACUGCUUUGCCCACCAACUGAAGUUGGUAGUUGUUGCUAUUUCGAGAUGUUGCAAGGGUGUUGAGGAUUUUUUUGAAUAUGUGACCAUGAUUGCCAAUCUCAGUACUUCAUCUUGCAAGAGGAAGGAUAAAUUGCUUGACAAGCAAAAAGAAGAUCUUUUGGAUACGAUUGAGAGAGGUGAGAUGCCCACAGGAAGAGGGGAAAAUCAAGAAACAUCGUUGGUCAGACCUAGAGACACAAGAUGGGGAUCUCAUUACACAACCUUAUCUCGCAUUGAAUCAAUGUGGGAUGCAGUCAUAGAAGUUUUGGGUAUUGUUGAGGAUGAUGUGCGUGUUCCAUGUAGGGCAGGAGGUUUGGUUCAUCAAAUGGAGACCUUUAGCUUUGUGUUCAUCCUGAAGAUGAUGCUAAAAAUCCUUCGUAUCACAAAUGAUUUAUCUCUUCUAUUGCAAAAGAAGGAUCAAAAUGUUGUUCAGGCAAUGUCAUUGGUUACGGAUGUGAGAACACGUUUGGUCAACUGGAGAAAUGAUGGUUGGGAGCCACUCUUGGAAGAUGUCAAAGCGUUUUGCACCAAAAACGACAUUCCAAUACCAAGUAUGGAUGAGAUCUUUACAAAGUGGGGUAAAUCAAGAAAAGGUGGACGAAACAAUGUCACGGCUGAUCAUUUUUUUCGUGUGGACACCUUCUAUGCUGCUAUAGACUCCAUCACCACGGAGUUUGAUCAUCGUUUUAAUGAGGUAUCUUCAGAGCUGCUCCAGAACUUCUCUUGUCUUGACCCAAGAAACUCAUUUUCUAGGUUCAACCUGAAUAAGCUUGCCAGGCUCACAGAGAUUUAUCAUGAUGAUUUCUCUGACUAUGAACGUGAACAUAUAGAAGGUAACCUUGAUCUAUUCAUUAUCCAUAUGAGAAGAAUUGAAGACUUUAGAGCUUGUCAUGAUAUUGCAAGCCUAGCUAAAAUGACGGUUGAACUUGAAAGGCACGUCAUGUUUCCUACUGUUUAUCGCCUCGUUGAAUUGGCAUUGCUACUACCGGUAGCGACGGCAACUGUUGAAAGGGCCUUCUCAUCAAUGAAAAUCAUCAAGACUGAGUUGCGCAGCAAGAUGACCGAUGGUUGGCUUAAUGACUUGAUGGUUUGUUACAUUGAGCGAGAGAUCUUCAAAAGUAUCGAUCUUGGUAAAAUUAAGCAAGAUUUUCAGAAUGAGGGUAGGGCAUUGCCAUUGCCCGGGUCUUCUAGACACCAUUGA